Molecule: ribosomal RNA, 419 nt
Filed under: uncultured Gemmatimonas sp.
Lineage: Bacteria; Pseudomonadati; Gemmatimonadota; Gemmatimonadia; Gemmatimonadales; Gemmatimonadaceae
Description: bacterial SSU rRNA
Rfam family: Bacterial small subunit ribosomal RNA
Source: RNAcentral
UGGGGAAUCUUGCGCAAUGGCCGAAAGGCUGACGCAGCGACGCCGCGUGGGGGAGGAAGGCCUUCGGGUUGUAAACCCCUGUUGCCCGGGACGAAUGUGCUCUUCAGAGAGCAUUGACGGUACCGGGUGAGGAAGCACCGGCUAACUCCGUGCCAGCAGCCGCGGUAAUACGGAGGGUGCAAGCGUUGUCCGGAAUCACUGGGCGUAAAGGGCGCGUAGGCGGCUCAUGAAGGCUGUGGUGAAAGUCCGGGGCUCAACCUCGGAUCGGCCGUGGCGACUCGUGGGCUGGAGCACUGUAGAGGCGGGUGGAAUUCCGGGUGUAGCGGUGGAAUGCGUAGAGAUCCGGAAGAACACCAGUGGCGAAGGCGGCCCGCUGGGCAGUGGCUGACGCUGAAGCGCGACAGCGUGGGGAGCAAACA